This 401-nucleotide transfer-messenger RNA is filed under the name Bacteroidales bacterium. It matches the Rfam family "transfer-messenger RNA". Rfam says of the family: Bacterial tmRNA, also known as 10Sa RNA or SsrA, is named for its dual tRNA and mRNA-like properties. Lineage: Bacteria; Pseudomonadati; Bacteroidota; Bacteroidia; Bacteroidales. The record is from RNAcentral.
GGGGCUGACCUGGUUUUGACAGCAAGGUAAAUGAUUGUGUAAGCAUGUCGGGCAAUGUGGAUAAUCCCGUAAAACUUUUUCGCAGACAAUUAAAUGGCGCAGAUAAUUAUGCUUUCGCUGCUUAAUCGAAUUACAGUAGGUUAAACUUAAUUCCGGUACAAGGUACCGGAACGAAAUAUCCCUCGAUUGGACCGUCCGGUUCCGCUUCGGCCAAGGGGUAGCAAAAAAUACCGGAAUAGCAUUUGUGAAACUUCGGCACGAAAGCGAAAUUUAAGAAGAUAAGGUUUAGGUUUGGGUGUCUGUUCCCGGAUCUUUUCCCGACAAUCAAUAAUAGAAUAAACAUGUAGAAAGCACCUUUGUUUCUUGUUUGGACCCGGGUUCGAUUCCCGGCAGCUCCACUU